CCUACGGGACGCAGCAGUGGGGGAUAUUGCACAAUGGGGGAAACCCUGAUGCAGCGACGCCGCGUGGGUGAAGAAGUAUUUCGGUAUGUAAAGCCCUAUCAGCAGGGAAGAAAGAAGACGGUACCUGACUAAGAAGCCCCGGCUAACUACGUGCCAGCAGCCGCGGUAAUACGUAGGGGGCGAGCGUUAUCCGGAUUCACUGGGUGUAAAGGGAGCGUAGACGGCCGUGCAAGCCAGGAGUGAAAGCCCGGGGCCCAACGCCGGGACUGCUCUUGGAACUGUGCGGCUGGAGUGCGGGAGGGGCAGGCGGAAUUCCUGGUGUAGCGGUGAAAUGCGUAGAUAUCAGGAGGAACACCGGCGGCGAAGGCGGCCUGCUGGACCGCGACUGACGUUGAGGCUCGAAAGCGUGGGGAGCGAACAGGAUUAGAUACCCGUGUAGUC
Molecule: ribosomal RNA, 441 nt
Filed under: uncultured bacterium
Lineage: Bacteria
Description: partial 16S ribosomal RNA
Rfam family: Bacterial small subunit ribosomal RNA
Source: RNAcentral